This 103-nucleotide ribosomal RNA is filed under the name Sobralia crocea. Its description in RNAcentral is "partial 18S ribosomal RNA". It matches the Rfam family "Eukaryotic small subunit ribosomal RNA", at positions 1729 to 1831 of the family's 1831-position model. Lineage: Eukaryota; Viridiplantae; Streptophyta; Magnoliopsida; Asparagales; Orchidaceae. The record is from RNAcentral.
UUCGCCGCCCGUGACUCUGCGAGAAGUCCACUGAACCUUAUCAUUUAGAGGAAGGAGAAGUCGUAACAAGGUUUCCGUAGGUGAACCUGCGGAAGGAUCAUUG